CCUACGGGCGGCAGCAGUGAGGAAUAUUGGUCAAUGGGCGCGAGCCUGAACCAGCCAAGUAGCGUGAAGGAUGACUGCCCUACGGGUUGUAAACUUCUAUUAUAAAGGAAUAAAGUGAGGCACGUGUGCCUUUUUGUAUGUACUUUAUGAAUAAGGAUAGGCUAACUCCGUGCCAGCAGCCGCGGUAAUACGGAGGAUCCGAGCGUUAUCCGGAUUGAUUGGGUUGAAAGGGAGCGUAGAUGGGUUGUUAAGUCAGUGGUGAAAGUUUGCGGCUCAACCGUAAAAUUGCAAUUGAUACUGGCAGUCUUGAGUACAGUUGAGGUAGGCGGAAUUCGUGGUGGAGCGGUGAAAUGCUUAGAUAUCACGAAGAACUCCGAUUGCGAAGGCAGCUUACUAAACUGCCACUGACAUUGAUGCUCGAAAGUGUGGGUAUCAAACAGGAUUAGAUACCCUUGUAGUC
Molecule: ribosomal RNA, 460 nt
Filed under: uncultured bacterium
Lineage: Bacteria
Description: partial 16S ribosomal RNA
Rfam family: Bacterial small subunit ribosomal RNA
Source: RNAcentral